GCCGCGUGACCGAUGAAGCUUCUAGGAGUGUAAAGGUCUGUCGUGAGGGAAGAAAAAUCCGGAUGUAAAUAAUGUUCGGACGUGACGGUACCUCACAAGAAAGCACCGGCUAACUUAGUGCCAGCAGCCGCGGUAAUACUAGGGGUGCUAGCGUUGUCCGGAAUCACUGGGCGUAAAGGGUCCGUAGGCGUUUUGCUAAGUUGAUUGUUAAAUCCAUCGGCUCAACCGAUGAUCUGCAAUCAAAACUGGUAGAAUAGAGUUCGAGAGAGGAAAGUGGAAUUCCUGGUGUAGCGGUGACAUGCGUAGAUAUCAGGAGGAACACCAAUGGCGAAGGCAGCUUUCUGGCUCGAUACUGACGCUGAGGGACGAAAGCGUGGGGAGCGAACAGGAUUAGAUACCCUGGUAGUCCACGCCGUAAACGAUGAGUACUUGAUGAUGGAGGAUUCGACCCCUUCGUUGUCGUAGCUAACGCGAUAAGUACUCCGCCUGGGGACUACGACCGCAAGGUUG
This 510-nucleotide ribosomal RNA is filed under the name uncultured Fibrobacterota bacterium. RNAcentral's name for it is "bacterial SSU rRNA". It matches the Rfam family "Bacterial small subunit ribosomal RNA", at positions 396 to 896 of the family's 1533-position model. The record is from RNAcentral. Lineage: Bacteria; Pseudomonadati; Fibrobacterota.